AACGAACGCUGGCGGCAGGCUUAACACAUGCAAGUCGAGCGCAACCUUCGGGGUGAGCGGCAGACGGGUGAGUAACGCGUGGGAAUCUACCUUUUGCUACGGAAUAGCUCCGGGAAACUGGAAUUAAUACCGUAUGUGCCCUUAGGGGGAAAGAUUUAUCGGCAAGAGAUGAGCCCGCGUUGGAUUAGCUAGUUGGUGGGGUAAAGGCCUACCAAGGCGACGAUCCAUAGCUGGUCUGAGAGGAUGAUCAGCCACAUUGGGACUGAGACACGGCCCAAACUCCUACGGGAGGCAGCAGUGGGGAAUAUUGGACAAUGGGCGCAAGCCUGAUCCAGCCAUGCCGCGUGAGUGAAGAAGGCCUUAGGGUUGUAAAGCUCUUUCACCGGAGAAGAUAAUGACGGUAGCCGGAGAAGAAGCCCCGGCUAACUUCGUG
This 433-nucleotide ribosomal RNA is filed under the name uncultured bacterium. RNAcentral's name for it is "partial 16S ribosomal RNA". It matches the Rfam family "Bacterial small subunit ribosomal RNA", at positions 29 to 507 of the family's 1533-position model. The record is from RNAcentral.